RNAcentral lists this ribosomal RNA (1384 nucleotides) under Lactiplantibacillus plantarum. RNAcentral describes it as "Lactobacillus plantarum 16S ribosomal RNA". It matches the Rfam family "Bacterial small subunit ribosomal RNA", at positions 93 to 1462 of the family's 1533-position model. The record is from RNAcentral. Lineage: Bacteria; Bacillati; Bacillota; Bacilli; Lactobacillales; Lactobacillaceae.
GAGUGGCGAACUGGUGAGUAACACGGUGGGAAACCUGCCCAGAAGCGGGGGAUACACCUGGAAACAGAUGCUAAUACCGCAUAACAACUUGGACCGCAUGGUCCGAGUUUGAAAGAUGGCUUCGGCUAUCACUUUUGGAUGGUCCCGCGGCGUAUUAGCUAGAUGGUGGGGUAACGGCUCACCAUGGCAAUGAUACGUAGCCGACCUGAGAGGGUAAUCGGCCACAUUGGGACUGAGACACGGCCCAAACUCCUACGGGAGGCAGCAGUAGGGAAUCUUCCACAAUGGACGAAAGUCUGAUGGAGCAACGCCGCGUGAGUGAAGAAGGGUUUCGGCUCGUAAAACUCUGUUGUUAAAGAAGAACAUAUCUGAGAGUAACUGUUCAGGUAUUGACGGUAUUUAACCAGAAAGCCACGGCUAACUACGUGCCAGCAGCCGCGGUAAUACGUAGGUGGCAAGCGUUGUCCGGAUUUAUUGGGCGUAAAGCGAGCGCAGGCGGUUUUUUAAGUCUGAUGUGAAAGCCUUCGGCUCAACCGAAGAAGUGCAUCGGAAACUGGGAAACUUGAGUGCAGAAGAGGACAGUGGAACUCCAUGUGUAGCGGUGAAAUGCGUAGAUAUAUGGAAGAACACCAGUGGCGAAGGCGGCUGUCUGGUCUGUAACUGACGCUGAGGCUCGAAAGUAUGGGUAGCAAACAGGAUUAGAUACCCUGGUAGUCCAUACCGUAAACGAUGAAUGCUAAGUGUUGGAGGGUUUCCGCCCUUCAGUGCUGCAGCUAACGCAUUAAGCAUUCCGCCUGGGGAGUACGGCCGCAAGGCUGAAACUCAAAGGGAAUUGACGGGGGCCCGCACAAGCGGUGGAGCAUGUGGUUUAAUUCGAAGCUACGCGAAGAACCUUACCAGGUCUUGACAUACUAUGCAAAUCUAAGAGAUUAGACGUUCCCUUCGGGGACAUGGAUACAGGUGGUGCAUGGUUGUCGUCAGCUCGUGUCGUGAGAUGUUGGGUUAAGUCCCGCAACGAGCGCAACCCUUAUUAUCAGUUGCCAGCAUUAAGUUGGGCACUCUGGUGAGACUGCCGGUGACAAACCGGAGGAAGGUGGGGAUGACGUCAAAUCAUCAUGCCCCUUAUGACCUGGGCUACACACGUGCUACAAUGGAUGGUACAACGAGUUGCGAACUCGCGAGAGUAAGCUAAUCUCUUAAAGCCAUUCUCAGUUCGGAUUGUAGGCUGCAACUCGCCUACAUGAAGUCGGAAUCGCUAGUAAUCGCGGAUCAGCAUGCCGCGGUGAAUACGUUCCCGGGCCUUGUACACACCGCCCGUCACACCAUGAGAGUUUGUAACACCCAAAGUCGGUGGGGUAACCUUUUAGGAACCAGCCGCCUAAGG